GAUGUAUAUGGCAUAUGGAUGGCCACAGGUCAUCCCUAUGGAAUCAGGGUUAUGCCCUUCUUCACAGCAAAUUGUGUACCUCAAAGUCAUUAAUCGCUUAUUGCUUGUUGUUUCUCCUACUCAUCUUGAACUAUGGUCCUCCUCACAGCAUAGAGUGAGAUUGGGCAAGUACAAGAGAAGCUCGGAUUCGAUUCAGAAGGAAGGCGAGAAUUUGCGAGCUGUUUGGAGUCCUGAUACCAAAUUGAUUGUAGUUAUUACCUCUUCCUUCUACCUACACAUUCUGAAGGUCCAAUUUACAGAAAGGAAAAUACAAAUUGGAGGCAAACAACCAACUGGUUUGUUUCUAGCAAGCAUAACUUUGCUCUUGAAUGAACAGGUGCCUUUUGCUAACAGGAACUUGACAAUGAGCAAUGUAGUUUGUGACAGU
Molecule: unclassified non-coding RNA, 427 nt
Filed under: Hevea brasiliensis (rubber tree)
Lineage: Eukaryota; Viridiplantae; Streptophyta; Magnoliopsida; Malpighiales; Euphorbiaceae
Source: RNAcentral